UGCAACGACAAUACUAGUACUAGUGCAUUCCAAACCAACCGCGACACCCUCCCCUCCUCUCUCGCCAACAAGACGGAUCAAUACGGCUUCUACACUUUCUCAACCGGCGAAAAUCCCGACACGGUUUACGCACUCAUGCUGUGUAGAGCCGACUCUAAGUUAGAUGUCUGUCGCGAGUGCAUUAACAACUCCACCACUUAGCUCAAGGAACUUUGUCCCGACGGAAAGGAAGCGAUCGGAUGGUACGACGAUUGCAUGUUGCGAUACUCGAACAAGUCGAUGGAGGGGGUUAUGGAAGAGAAACCGAGCUACCCUGUGUGGAACGUUAAACAAAACGUUACGAGUAUGGAGCAAUUCAAGGACGUGUUGGAGAACUUGCUGGAAAGUCUCAAGGACAAGGCCGCGGCGGGCGGGUCCCGUAUCAAGUUUGCAGCGGGAAACGUGACGGGACUGGACUCUCAAACUGUAUAUGCACUCGUGCAGUGCACGCCGGAUAUAUCCAAAAAAGGGUUGCAGCGAUUGCAUUCAGGGGGCUAUUGAUGAUGAUAUCCCGGAUGUCACGUCCUGCUGUGUUGGGCCGGUGGGCGGAAGAAUUAUUAGACCGAGUUGUCAUUUUCGAUUUGAGCUUGGAUCUUUCGUUGGUGAAAUUCCAGUGAGUACUAGCAGCGGGUGUCGCGGUUUGAAUGGCAGGGCUGUAAGCAUGGCCGCAGUUUUGUUGAAUUUCAUUGGGUUGGCUUUGCUACUGAAUCUACUGAUUUGAAAGUGAUGAUCAGAUACACGACUCAGAGACAGAUGAUAGCCUUCUGAUCAGUGAAAAUUUCUGGUUGAUUUUUUUAUUUUUAUUUGGUAAUGCAAGGUGUCCCGGGCUAACUUGCGUGCACCUCGGACUAAUCCCUACAGUCCCUCUCACACCCGUUGUGGUUGUGUUUUUUUUUUUUACUAAUAAUAAAGUUAUCCAAUUGGUCUGUUUAAUUGUUGCAUGAUUGUACUUUUGGUGGUCUAGAAUAAUUAAUCCGGGCCUCUGUUUAGUAACGUUACUAUAUUUUAGGUAUUUUGUUUGUUGGUUUACGAAAUACUAUUCUCGUUUACAUAGCUAGUGUGUGAAGUCCACAAAAAUGCGUGAUGGAUAAAGAGUUCAGAGCACCGCGACAUUAUACCCUAUGGGCAUGGAAAAAUUACUCUUAGCAACCCGAGUAUAUGGUAGGGCCUAAGAUUUGCCGCAUACGUGCUGCAAUUCAUAGCGAAUGUCUGCAAUGCACUCUAACAGAUACAUGAAACUAAGUUACAUAAUGCGUGUGCAGGUGCGGAAGAGCAAGCGCGAGCGUUAAAAUGUCUUUCAAAAGCCUCCCAAACAAUAGAAUUCGCGAGUGCAAGAAGUGAGAUUGCAAGCGCUGACCGAUGAUUUAGUGCGGGAGCAAAUACCAUUUUGAAAAAUUAUGUGACUAAUUACCCUCUCUCUACAUGUUGAAUUUAUGUUGAAAAAAGGCCCAGCGCAGCUUGUUGGAUCCAAGCCCGACCCUAGUUUGCAGUUGUCUGGACCAACAAGCUUGGGCCGGGCAAAUUCAGCGAAGCCCGAUCGACCUUAAUAGAGUUCACCGAGUUAAAAGUCAGCCGGGCUUGGCUGGGUCUGUUAGUCGACCGAGUUAAUUGUACCGUGCAGGGUGCAGGUAUUUGCUUCAUCCUAAGAUCUCAUGUUCAAUUCUUCUUGCCAACAACUCUUAGAGCCACUGAACUGUGAUAGGGACUGUAGGGAUCAACCCGAGAUGCAGGUGCACACAAGCUGACCGAGAGUGCCUCAUUGUUCGCUCCUGGUAGUUUAGCUCCUUGUAUUGUUGCGUAGGUCAGUCGGUUGACGGAAAGGGUGUGCUGUUCCUUGAACUCUUCUUGUUUGUUUGGUUUGGUCUUCAUAUGAAAGUACUUUCACCUACAAAAACAUCUGUUGAGCAUUCUUUUUAGGGAAUUCUUAUAGAUCGGAAAGGAUAAAAAUAUAAACACAAGGAAAAAGAGGGAUGUAGCGCGAAAAUUGAUAUUCAUCACUUAUUUCAUUUCUUACAGGUGAGACAACCGAAGAAAAACAUAGCUAUUCUUUAAUUGGAGAAUAACUACUACUAUACAAAACUGAAGAAAAGAGCAGGACAGGAAGAAAGAAAGGAUACCGCGAAAAAAAAAAAAAAAAAAAAAAGGUCAGUAAGUUACAUUAGCUAGUAUUAUACAAGAAGAUGAGACGAACUGAGAUGAUUCCUUAAGAUGCAGCAGCAAUAGGAGGGGGUUGAGGAGGGACUCCAUGAAAGAAACUUGGUGGUGAUAGAUUGAUACUGCUGCUAUUUUCAAUCUGGUCGAAACUAUUGUUUUCUUCUUCCUCUUCUUCUUCUUCCUCCUCGGUGUCCCAAAGAAACCGCGCAUAUGAAGCCAUAACAUAAC
Molecule: long non-coding RNA, 2421 nt
Organism: Rhododendron vialii
Lineage: Eukaryota; Viridiplantae; Streptophyta; Magnoliopsida; Ericales; Ericaceae
Exons: 2
Source: RefSeq, a predicted model, not a curated record